Molecule: long non-coding RNA, 7871 nt
Organism: Equus quagga
Lineage: Eukaryota; Metazoa; Chordata; Mammalia; Perissodactyla; Equidae
Exons: 3
Source: RefSeq, a predicted model, not a curated record
CAAGGACCGAGAGAGGGGAAGAGAAAGAGAGACACACACGGAGCCGGAUUCAGGCUGAGAGAAGCAGAGACCAGAGCAGGGUGGGAUCAACUCCGCAGCGCCAUUCACAUGCCAGAGCUCCCCGUGGGGUCAGGCUGAAGCUGGACGCCGCUGAGACACAUCCUAGCUUAGCCCUGGCCCAGGCCCUGCCCUGCAUCGCUCUCUCCUUUUCUCCGUAAGCAUUCCUCAGUGAGUCACCUGCAUUCCAGCCUUCGUUUCAGGCUCUGCUGGGCACCCGGGCCUGAGACACAGCCCCAGGGACGCCUCCCCGGCUCCGCUUCUGGUCUCAUCUCCAGGGAGCUCUCCUCGCAGGCCUCAUUGUGGCCGUUGUUUGACACUUGCUCAGAUGAUUAUGCGUCUGAGGUCUGUCCUCUACCCCAGAAUACAAGGCAGGGAUCAUAUCGACUGCUCCUGGCUGCGUCCCCAGUGCCCAACACAACGCUUAGCACAGUAGGUGGUCAAUAAAUACUUGUUGAAUGACUGAAUGAAUAAUGGCUGGGCGAAUUGGAGGUUGUCGGGGCUGGGCAUCACUGAGGCCCCAGGUUCUUCCCAUCUGGUGAUUCUGCCAUCUCCUCCCAGCCUAGCUCCUCAUAGCUCCAUGACAGCUGCCAAAGCUCCUGCCAUCUCUUCCUUACACAGCCAUGGCCAAGGCAAGAAAAGGCCCUCAAGUGUCCCCUUAGGAAGAAACUGUUCCCAGAAGUCCCUUGGCAGACUUCCUCACCUCGCUGCCAUAGUCGCAUUCCUUGUCCAGCCUCAGCCAAUCGCUGCGAGGCGAGGGAGAGGGUGACGUUUGACUUGGGCCAAUCAGCAUUCGCCCUCAGGGUGCCGUGGGUGGAGUCUGCCCUCCCCAGUAAGAGGGGAUCCAGCUGGGGCCAGGGUUGUGGACCCCUGUGCCGGCGUUCCCGGCAUCCCUGAGGCUGUGGACCCCCACCUGCCUUCCCUCCUGGGAGGGGGGGGUCUUUGGGUGGCGGCUGUGGGAAGGGAGGUGGGGCUGCGUGAGGGUUUUGAGCACAGAAGGUGGCCAGACCCCUUCACCUCAGUAAAUAUUUAUAGAGCCAGGAGCGGAGAGGAGGUAGGCGGCCGAGGGUGUGUGUGCGGAAAAGGGGCCUGGGCCAGAGAUCCGAGGGAGAGACAGAGACCCAGCGGAGAGGCCGAGAGACGCGGAGGGAAAGAGGGAGGAGGGAGACAGGGACGGGGAGAGACAGACAUUUUGCCAGGAAGGCCUUGCGUCAGUGCCUUGAACAGUCAGGCCCGUCAUGGUGGGAGUGACGUCCCUGUCCCCUUCUCUCUGGCUUGGCGUCCGCCUCUGCUGGAUGGGGUAAAUGACCCUCUUUCACGGGACUGUCCCGUGGAAACCCAUCACUCUGGGAUUGUCAUUGACCCCGUGGCCUCCUUUGGCCUAUAAAUGGCCUGGAGUGGUGGUGGGAAUCGUGGCCCUGGUGACAGGGCACACGUGCUGGAGGGGUCUGAAGCUUGUGUCCCGUCCGUGCCCCACAGGGCCAGUGGGACAGGGCCGGGGCGAGGGAGGUAUGCCGGCUGCCUGGAAACCCUAGGGGUGUGCUGGCAGUAACGACAAUUCUGCUAACAAUAAUAAUGCCCACUGUGUUCUGAGUGCCCCCAGGUGCCAGACACCAGCCACGAGGGGGGCGCUGCUUAACGCCCUGUAGCCUGUCAUUCCCAUUUUACGGGGGAGGAGACAGCCAUGGUGGCAUCCUGACAAGAGAGCCGGCGUUCAGAGUCAGACCCUGAGCCCGAGUCUCUGCUCCACCCCUGACAGGCUGGGUGACCGGGGCCAGUCACUUCCUCUCUCUGAGCCUCAGUUUCCCCAUUUGCAAAAUAGGAAAAUGACAGUUUAAAGGUUGACAUGAGGAUUAAAUGACAUGACGUGCAGAAAGCGCUCAGCACGGGGCCAGGCACACAGCAAGUGCUCAAUAAUCAUUAAAUGGUGUGCUGGGUAACAGUUUUACAGUAAUUUAAGGAUAAUUCCUUUAAUUGCUCCCGUUUUUUCAGAGGAAGAGUUGAGGUCCAGAGAGGGAAGUGACUUGCCCAAGGUCACCAGCCCAGUGGAGGAGCUGAGCUUUCAACUGGGUGGGCUCUGAGGCCAGCGCUCUCUCUGCCCGCCGUGCCACCAUCACGGCCAGGCCCAGGCUGGCCUGUUUGGGACUCAGUCCUUGUGGGUCAAGAGGAUGCCGGGGGCCUGGCCUGGCAUCAGCCAUGAUCACCCGUUGGGGCGGUUGCAACAUCCCCUCGCUCCGCCAGUCAAUAAAGGGUGCCCAUUGCAAAACUCGGCGGAGAAAUUAAGUGUUGUGUCAUCCUGCGGCCAGGCCCUGGGUGCCCCUUUCCUGCCCGGAGGCCUGGGUGGGGCCAGCUCCUCACUCUCGCCCUCCACGGCUGGCCUUGGAGAGCUGGGGUCGGGGUCAGCAGGGGGCUUCGGGGAGUGGGCAGGGUCCGGACCGCGCUCUGGGUCCACCCACGGCCAACCACUCUCAGGAGGGGCAGGUCCGUCCUCCUGGGUGCUCGGGCCCAGACGCGGGUGAGUCGACUCUUCUCUUGCCCCACAUCCAGGAAUCGGUCAGGAAGUCCUGUCGGCUCUCCCUUUAAGAUACAUCAGAAUCCAGCCAGGGUCCCCUCCACCUCCAACCAGGGGGUCAGAGCACCUUCUGCGGCCUCACGACUCCACCUUCCUCCGCUUGGCCCACUCCCCACGCGUGGCCGAGGGGCCCGUUGCUUCCAGGUGGGUCCUAAGUCGGCUCUCGGCCCUCUGCCCAGAACCCUCCAUGGCUCCCGUCUCCGAGUCUUCCCGAGGGCACAGGGCCCUGCCUGCUCCGGCCCCCGGCCUUUCCACCUGUCUCACUGUUCUCUCCCUGGCUCAUGCAUUCCCGCCACACGGGCCUCCCUGUCGCACUGGGCAGGGCUGACCUCCUUUCACUGCCCUUCCCUCGGCCUUCGGGCUCUUCCCCCAGUUCUGCCGCACAGCUGGGCCCCUUGCCUUACUCAGGUCUCAUCUCAAGGUCACCGCCUCCUGGAGGCCUUCCCUGGUUACCCUGCUAGCUGUCACCCCAGUCCUUCUUCUUGACUUCCACCACGUGAUACAUUAUUUAUUUGUUUGUCUUUCUCCUUCCUUAGAUAGGGCCUGUUGUCUGUCUUGUUCAUGAUGACCCCCGGCGCUCAGCCUGGGCCUGGCACACAGUAGGUAUUCCACAGAGAUGUGCUGAAUCCGUGAAGGGGUGGCAGGAGGGGUGACAUUGGUGCAGAUCAUGCUGCCGUGAAUCGCAAGCCCCCUUCUCCGGCUGGUGGCGUGCGGACGGUGCUAUGGGCACACUCCGCGGCCUGCAGGUCGCAGCUGGGGGGUCCUCCUGGCUGCCCUGUCGAGUGGCCCGUGCUGCCCAGCUCCCUGACGCGCUCACCCGGCGCUGGGCUGCUGUGUUCCCCUGCUUCUCAUCAGCCUCCUCCCCAGACCCGGAGCCCUCUGAGGACCGGCCCUCAUCUGCCUCGGUUCCACUGCUGUCCCUGGUGCCCAGCAUGGGGCCUGGCACCCUGUGCGGGUAUUGGAGGCUGGCUGAUCAAGCUUUGUGUCACAUGCCCAUUUGCAGGGCCAGUUGUGGCCAGGAGGGAGGUACCAGGAGACGCUGCGCCCGGCCCUGAGGCCUGCGGAGUCAGGGCGAGAAAGGGGCCGCUGGGCCCUGAGCGUGAGGACCUGGGGUCAUCCUGGGCUCACACCGAGUCCUAAUCUGAUCUCCUGUCUGGGCCACUCACAGCAGAUCCAGUCACCAGCCGCAGUGUGCUAACUCACUCUGGACCUAUCUCCACGCUCCACCUCGAUGCUUAUCGGCUUCCUUAAUUAAGCGAAGGUGCAGCGCGGCAGGCGAUGCCCGCAGCCUGCAGGCGAGUCGGCCCGGCCCCCUAAGCCGGGAUAAUAGCUGCUCCCACGCGGGCUGAGGCCUGCGCUGCCAGCUCCCUCCUGCCCAGUUCCAGGCCUGGGCGGGACAGGCCUGCUGAGACCUAGGGAGCCACAAACACUCACCACCGAGGCCUUAAACCGGCGGUGGCGCAUGGGCCAGGUUGGCCUCCAGGUGCGUUGGGUUUGGCCCAUGUGGUUCUUUUGCUGAAAGUCAAAAUGAGCUGCCAACACUGAAAAAUUAGGACACUGUCUGCAAACAUCUGGAUCUCUGGAAGAUGCGGGGACUCUGGGCUCACAGGUGCUGUGUGCUGGAGCUGAGGAGUGGCUGUCCCCACACAGGGGACAUGGCGUCAGUCGCCCCCCCCCCCAUUUCACGUUGUGUCCCUACCUGGCUCACGUGGGCAGUUGAAGGUGCCACCUCCGCUCUAGGAUUAGAGGUCAGUUGCCAUUUGCAAGAAGGGACACGGAGGCUCAGAAAAGGCAAGUGACUCAACCAAUGAUGCACAGUAAGCCUGGAGCUCAGGUCACCGUCAGCGGGCACGUCCUUCCUGAGCACCCACCGUGUGCCAGGCACUGGGGACACAGAGGGACCAUCACAGAGCCAGCCUUCUGGGGGUGACGGUCUUCUGCCCCACAGCUGUAUUGUCCCCUUUAUCGCUGGGUGACAGUGUCUGUUGAGACAGGUCCUUUCUUAUCCCCGUGAGGCAGCUGCAAGUAGGUUCCCCACCGCGGCUGGGCCCGUCCCAGGACAGGGGCACAGCCAUCGUGGAAGGAAGCCCCUGGCAAGCGUGCCUGCCCCCGGGACCCCCGCUCUGCGCCCUGGGCCUUCUGAGAGCAGGGGGGCGAGCGGCGUCUGGUGGGAGGAGUGAGGAGGGUGGGAGCGGGGUGGGGACGGGGGCGUGAGCAGAGGGGGCAGUGGUGUCAGCUAGACAGAGCGCGAGGACGGCUCCAUCCUGGGUGAACCAAAGGUGAAUCAGGAAGGCUUCUCCCACUGCCCUCUGAAGGCAAGGCGUGGAGGGGCGAGCCGCAGACCUGUCCCAGGUCCCCACCGGCGAGUCUAGGAAAAAGCCAUUUGUGCACCUGGCUUGGGAGAACGCCCCGCCCCUCCUGCAGCGCAGCCCCUGGUCAGGGGAGGAACUGUGGCCUGGAGCCCCCGGGCCCUCAGCCCUGGACCCGGCCUGGGUCCCCAUGGACGCCAAGGCCGUCAGGGCUCCUGCAGACCUGCCCGCCUGCCAGGAGCCACCGCUGAACAGCACGAAGCAGCCUGGCCCCGAGGCCGGCUCCCCACUGACGCGGGCGUGAAUAACAGUCCCGGCGGUCAUGUGCGUUUGCUAAAAAUAACCUUGACAUACUUUUGCGUUGGGAAACAAUGUGGAUUCCAAACAUUCUCAAAGGGCAGAGAGGGGAAAAAAAGGAAGAAUGGAAAUCAAGUUUUCGAGCUUAGUAAUUAAUUAGCCUGUAAACAAAUGACUCACGCUCUUUCCUGGCUAUUUUUCUUUCCGUUCUGCGUGGAUUUUCGCAGGGGCCCGGAGAAGGAGGCCGAGUGAGCCAGCCGAGCGGAUAGGCUGGACGGGGCCCAGAUGCGUCUCCCAGGGACGAGGAGGGGGACUGUCCCGAGGACGAGUUGGCCAGCUGGAGAGUGCGAGGAACAGCUUCAGACAAGCUCUGUGCUGGCUCAGAGAUGCUACCUGACAAUCUCUGACAUUGGUGUGUUGUCACGUCCGUUGUGCGGACAGAGAAACCGAGACCCAGAGAGGAGCUGUGCCGUGUGCAAGGCCACAUGGUUACAAGUGGGAGCCCAGACUGGAAUCCAGGUCCGACGACAAAGACUGUGCUUUUAACCCCUUUUCUGGGCCACGGACCUUGGUUCAAAUACCAGCUCCACCACUUAGAUGCUGUGUGACCCCGGGCAAGUCACUUUACUUCUCUGAUCUCGGGUAUCUCGCUACAUUAAAUGGGGAUGUGGACCCCUGCCCUGCAGGGCCGCUGGGCAGAGUUGGGAAGUUCUGGGCGAAUGGCCGCUGGCACACAGGGGCUCGAAAUGUGUGCCCCCUCCCCACUCCACUGAGUUCUGCCCGCCUUUGGCCUCCCUCCUGGGCCGGCGGCUCUGUGGAGUCCACCCUCCGGGCCCCGCCGCCCACUGGGUGUUGAUUCACCCCGGCCACGAGCCUCUUGCCUCGGCCUGUGCUCUCUUCCUCCUUUUCUUGGUGGGCCCACUGCCUUCUCCGAUUGCCAAAGCUCCUCCCAGGGACGGGCGGGCGGCGGGGGGACCCCAUCCUCCCACAGAAUGUCUCCACCGCUUCCCCAUCCUCCCACCCUCACCACGCCCGGCUGAGGUCACCAGCGCGAGGCCUGGUCCAGGGACACGGGUCACAGUUGGUCCACUUAAUCAUCAUGGGGCAGGUAGGGCCCUGGCUGGUCCAGGGUCCCCCGCGGGGGCCAGGCUGGUGGAGGGGGUGGCCGCCAAAGGAUGAAUUCUGGGACAAAUGGUGCUCCGGCCCAUGGCAAGCGCGUGCACGGUGGAUGGCUGAGGGCGCGUGCAUUGAUGGCGGGGGCCGGGGGGAGGCAUCUUGGGGAAGGCUUCCUGGAGGAGGCGAGUCAGGAGCCAGGGGUGCAGAGGGGAGAUGAAGGGCGUGGGCACUGGGCCAGCUCGCCUGGGCUCGAGUCUCAGCUCGCCCCUUUCCCGCUGUGUGGCCCCGAUCAAGUUCACAUCUCUCUCUGAGCCUCGGUUUCCUCGUUUGGAAAAUGAGAAAAUGAUCGUAACACCCCUUGCAGAGGGUGGUGUGGAGGAAGUGAGACGAUGUAGACAAGGUGUCGGGAGCAGGCCGGGCACACAGCUAGCGCUUAAUACAGGUCAGCUGCUCUUCUUACUCUUACUAUCAGUGUGGUGGAAAGUUCUAGAAUGUCAGCUUCAGACAGGCCUGGGUGCAGGUCUCAGUUUUCCUCGCCUCUGGGUCCUCGAGGCCCUCCCUCUCCGCGCCCCAGCUUUCCUCACCUGGGAAUGGAGCUGUUUUGACCUCAUGGGGUUCAUUGUGAGCAUGAGGCGGGUGAAUCCUGUAAAUGCUCAGCACAGUGCCUGGCACACAGUAGGUGCUCAAGAAGUGGUUGGCGUCCCCCCGGCCUUGUGGCCUUGUGGCCUUGUGAGUAAGAGCAGGUUGGAGUGUCAGCCUGGUGCAUCCCAGCUCUGCCUGCCCAGCUUGCCGUGGGCCUUGGGGCCGUGGGCGGAAAGUGCCGUUCUGGUGCCUGGCACAUAGUAGGUGCGUGGUCGGUGGGACUAAACUCGGGACCUUGUGUCCCCGAUGACGGUGUGAGGCCCCCCUGGUGACUUCCUUCCCUGUGAGGUGGGGUGGUGCUCCCACUGUUGCGGCGAGGAAGCUGAGGCUCAGAGAGGUGAGGUCGCCAGCUGGAGGCCGGGCCCUCCAUCUGCUUGGCUCCCGAGCCUACCUCUCUGUCAGGGGGUCCCUGGGUGUGCGCCCUGCUGGGGGACGUCCCGCUGGGCCCUCAGGGCCACCGUGCAUGCUGACAGAAGCUUUCUAGGGUUAAGGAGAGGAGUGACAGCCGCGACUUGGCACUGGGUCCCGGGGUCCACAGGCCGUUCCCAGGGCCCCUGUCCCGGGCUGGGGACAGGAGUGGCUCUGUGGAUAUGGCGCUGGCUCGGGGUCUUGGGGCAGCGGGCAGCGCCCCCAGGCCCGGCCGGGUCUGUCUCCUCCCCGACCCGGCCCCAGGGCACUCUGCUGUUUCUCGUUUGUCACUAUCCAGCCCUUUGGGCCAUGUUUUCUGUCCAGAGUCUGGAUCUCCUCCGGGCGUCUGAGAACGCCCGGCUCUGUGCGCAGAUUCCACGUCCCACCAAGGGCCGCCCUCCGCCAAACUCCGCACGCGGGCUCAUCCCUGCUCCCGCGCCUGUGCGUCUGUCGCUCCUUCUGUUGUUCUC